UGCAAAUUUGGGCUGUUGGGCCGAAAAUUUAAAUGUUAGUAAUCUUGGGCCGCUUAGAGUGCCGAACUUAUGACCGUUGGGUGAACACUUGGGCUGAAGUAAAAGGAAGGGUAGGACACUAGGGUUCGAGAGACGCCUGUCGGGCGCCUUCUCCCUUCCCCUCUCUUUCGCUUGCCACCGAGGGUUUCAUUUGGAGAAGGCGAAUUGACGGUGCAUAUUGACGGGUGAAAAGCGGUCGGGUGGGAAAUGAGGCAGACGCAUCUGGCCCCAUGGUUAGGUCCUCGUACAAGGCGGGCGAGUACUACAUCAAAUCCAUGAUAGAAUCUGAUCGAGCAACAUCUUCUACAUAGCGCUGAACAUCUCUGAUGAUCGCUCUUGAACAAGCUCGCGGCUUAGCUUCAAGAUCUCGAUAAGUGUUACUGUUUUGGGCUGCUUCGGGCUCUGUUGUCAACUCCCUUUCAUCGUGGAAUCAGAUUGAAGGAACAAACCAGAGAUCUGAUCGGAGGAAGCAAGCCGGAUCGAUUAACAGGAAGAUAAAUCCACUACUCCUGUCCGGACGAGCAAUUGAGUUGUCUUCACCCUCCCAAGAGCAUCUGUAUCAACUCACAUUUGAUUUUUCAUUGCGCUCUCCACUGAUUCGUGGGCAUGGGAAUUUUGGCUCUAUUGAUGCGGAUCCUGCUGCAGCAAUGUGUUACACAGAGUGCAGGCUGGAGGCACUCACGGAGGCCAUGUUAUUGGCAGAUUUGGAGCAAGAUACGGUUGAUUUUGUUCCAAACUUUGAUAAUUCACAAAAAGAACCAUCUCUGCUUCCUGUUCGCAUCCCCAACUUGCUAUUAAAUGGUUCUUCAGGGAUUGCGGUUGGAAUGGCUACCAAUAUUCCACCGCAUAAUCUUGGGGAGUUGGUAGAUGCACUUUCCGUGCUGAUUCACGAUCCCGAUGCAACGUUGCAAGAAUUGCUUGAGUACAUGCCUGGACCUGACUUCCCAACUGGAGGAAUCAUAAUAGGAAAUAUUGGUAUUUUGGAUGCAUAUCGAACUGGACGAGGGCGGGUGGUGGUCAGAGGGAAGACUGAUAUCGAGUUGCUGGAUCCCAAGAGCAAGCGCUUGGCAAUUAUAAUAAAAGAGAUUCCAUAUCAGACCAACAAAGCUUCCCGUGUUGAGAAAAUUGCUGAACUCGUGGAAAAUAAGAAUUUGGAGGGAAUAAGUGACAUACGCGAUGAGAGUGAUCGAUCUGGGAUGCGCAUUGUUAUUGAGCUCAAGAGAGGAUCAAAACCCUCCAUUGUCUUGAAUAAUCUGUAUUUUCUCACGGCUCUGCAGUCAGCAUUUAGCUGUAACAUGGUGGGAAAUAUAUUAAAUACAAGGAUGGCAGCCACAGAUUCAGUUCUUGGAUUUGCCUGGAACAAGGAGUUUAGGUGUAAUAUUAAUCUUUUGCUAUCCACACUUGCAACACACGUUCGAUUCAAACUCGUGGAGGGUUAAUUGUCAAAGUAGGCCGUCGGGGGCACUACACAAAUCACAUUCUGCGAAUUGCACGAAUUACACUACUUACACGAAUCAAAGCCACUCUCUCUAGAACAACGUCCCAAGUUCUUUGCUGUGAAACUCCGCCUUGUUGGAUAUCGGAAGACUCGAGGUUAGGCUAAUUGAAAUUGGUGCCCUUAUCAUGGCUUCUGAUGUGUAGAUAUGGCUCAGUUGAAAACUUGAAAGAGACUAACAAUGGGACAAGGACUGGGAGAUUUUCCAAAUCUCCAUCAACUGACCCCUAUUUGCUUGUUCUAGUCAUUGAUGACUUUAAGGGGGACUUCUGAUUCGAUGCACUAUUUCGAAACUUGGUUAACGAGCUGUUACUAUGGCCAAUGGUCAUUUGAAUGCAGCAAAAGAAGCCCAAGUGCCAUGGAAUAUGUUUUUCCAGAAGUUGAUUUUCUAUUAUCUUUGUUUAAGAAUUCAUGUAUGCAGUUGGUUAGUCUUAGGAAACAGGUGAAUCUUUCAACUAAUUUCCUUUCAGUGUUCUGCUAUUCACUAGAUGAUCUCCCUAAUAUUGAUGUUUGUUCUCAGAUUGAUCAGAAACUCUAGAAUGAUAAAACUGAAAUUUCUGCUCAAGACUCUAAGCAUCGGAAGACGC
Salvia miltiorrhiza (redroot sage) is the source of this 2121-nucleotide RNA transcript. It is a transcript of the gene named DNA gyrase subunit A, chloroplastic/mitochondrial-like, with no coding region annotated. Lineage: Eukaryota; Viridiplantae; Streptophyta; Magnoliopsida; Lamiales; Lamiaceae. The transcript has 15 exons. The record is from RefSeq and is a predicted model, not a curated record.